This 301-nucleotide ribosomal RNA is filed under the name uncultured bacterium. RNAcentral describes it as "partial 16S ribosomal RNA". It matches the Rfam family "Bacterial small subunit ribosomal RNA", at positions 509 to 809 of the family's 1533-position model. The record is from RNAcentral.
CAGCAGCCGCGGUAAUACGGAGGGUGCAAGCGUUAAUCGGAAUUACUGGGCGUAAAGCGCACGCAGGCGGUCUGACAAGUCAGAUGUGAAAUCCCCGGGCUUAACCUGGGAACUGCAUUUGAAACUGUCAGGCUGGAGUCUUGUAGAGGGGGGUGGAAUUCCAGGUGUAGCGGUGAAAUGCGUAGAGAUCUGGAGGAAUACCGGUGGCGAAGGCGGCCCCCUGGACAAAGACUGACGCUCAGGUGCGAAAGCGUGGGGAGCAAACAGGAUUAGAUACCCCUGUAGUCCUGUCUCUUAUACA